Molecule: non-coding RNA, 2583 nt
Organism: Podarcis muralis (Common wall lizard)
Lineage: Eukaryota; Metazoa; Chordata; Lepidosauria; Squamata; Lacertidae
Source: RefSeq, a predicted model, not a curated record
CAUGUGUGUUAUAAUAUUCUCAUGCCAUGUCAGUGAUUUUAUUUUCGCUCUGAUCUUAAUGUACUUUAAAUCGUAGAUUAAAGAGAUAAGUGGUUGAUCCUUUGCUCGGGGUUCUAAUUCGGUAUCCAGAGAACGGAGCUCACUAGGAAUGCGAUGUGUAGUACUAUCAGGUUGUAAAGGGGAGGGGGAAGGUGGAGGAGAUUUGCAGGAGUGUGCAGUAAUGGCUUGGAAAAGCAAAACAAAACCAUCUUAAGAUGGCUUGUGCGUCCAGCAGACGGCUGAGAUUUAAUAGUAUCCCAGAAUGAAUGUUAUGCAAAGAAGAAGAAGAAGCAAAAAAAGAAAAGAAAGGGUUGAAUAUCUGGAAGAUGAAUCUUAUGUUCUUGAGGAGUUAGACUUCAUAUUGACGGGAUUCAAGAGAUGAAUUCUGGAUAUUUGUAACGAAGAGGUGAUUAAACGAGUCAUCUUUUGCUAUGAUCACUUUUGCCAUGUGCUUAUUUCCCAAUUCUUCAGAAAUAAACAAACGUUUCGGACAGCUAAAAAUUGAUUUUGCUCUGCAGAAUGCAGCAGCAAAAUACGAAGCAUCUUACUCGACAACAUACUCCCCCUCCGAUAUGGCUAAAAUAGACAUCACUGCACUUCAUCGUUAUACAGUGCUGGUACGAUCGCAGUGCAAGAGUAUCCUGAGGUAUCCAUUGAAAGGCGGAGAGAGAUCUGUCAGGAAACAGUGGACCGACGUAAAGUAAAGGCAUUCCUUACCAUAGAACUCAAUCAAAAUACAGCCCCUUCAAAGAUUUCAGCCAAAACAGAAAUAUCCAUAAUAAGCAGAUUCUAUCAAGGCCUGGCUCUUAAGACUCUUACAUUUGUGGUUAGCAAUGUAUUAUUAUUGUUGUUCUAUGAUUUUCUAGUGUUUAAAAGUGCGCUACUUGCUGGUUAAAAACAAAACAGAGGAGAAAACAAGGGAAGUGAGGAAUAAGGGAUUUUUGCAUACAAUAAUGUUUAUGAAUAAAAAUGGAAAUUUAAGUAGAAAAACAAAAUGUGAACUAUUUUAUUUCACAAGAGUCCUCCCAUCCAAUAUUUCUUUUGGUGAACACUUAGAAGCCAGUGGUGAACUUCGCCAUUCCCUGUCAUGGAUGUAACUAUACACAAAACUGAAAGGUUUCCCUCGUCCUGUUAAUGCUACAGUGAGCAAAAACUUCGAAAACAGAGAAGGACAGAUUUGGCUGAGGAGAAAGAGGUUGAACAGUUAUUUUUAUCAUAAUGUUAUUUGUUGAGGAAACUCUUUUUUUGUUCUUUGUUUCAAAUUAAAUAAUCUUGACUUUCUAAAGUCCAGUGCUAUGCUUUACUACAUCAGCCUAGGUGCUCAGAAUGAACACAAAAGCAGGAUGUUAGCAAAGCUAGGCAACAUCCCUGACAAAAUACAGAGAGAUAAAUGUUUAGGAUCAGAGUACUAGUCAGAACCACUACCUGAUAACUGAAUGAACCCUUAAAGAUGAAGAAACAGAAGAACGGAAAUGUUUCUAAAAGAAACACUGGCAGAUUAUAAAUUUGAAAAAUUAAUAGGGGGAAUGUUGGCAGAUUAUGGGAGUGACAAUUAAUACACUUCUGUUUAUUACAAAGGAAAUGCAUAAACAACAUGACAAAAUUUGGUGGCAUUUUAGAUGUCCUCAUUAAAGGCCGAUGGCAAAAUUCCAGCCGAUCAUAUUUUAGCCUGAUCUUGUCCAGAAAUAUCUAAGGAAACCUAUGUAGGAUGAGGUUUGUAACUGCUAUCUUCAAGUCACACAGGCAAUAUCUUUCUCUCCUCCACCCCCGCUCUUUAAACUGGGAAGAAAGAAGUUGCUGUAAUUGUAAUAUUUCUUGUACUGUAUCUCACUCCUCUGCAGUUGCACACAGUGCAGUGUACAAAAAUAAAAAACAAAACAGCCAUUUAUAUUAAAAGCAGCCAUUCAACACCAUAUAUAAUAAAGUAAGCUUUAAAGCCUGAGGUGGCAACAUGGUCAGUCAAACAACCAUUAAAAGCUUUCAGAAACAAAAGGGUUUCAAUUUCUUUCUAAGAGGGAGAACCAAACACGGUUGAAAUGGAAUUAAUAACUUAAUGAAUAACUGUUGCCUAGCUUGCUUUUUUUUUUUAAGGCACAGCAUUUUAACAGUUAAUUUUCCAUAGUCACCAUUGUAACCAAUUCUGUAGUGGUGACAUUGACUCAAGUAUUCACUGACAUUGACCAAAGGAUGACAAAUGGGGAAAUAAAGAUGUUCAGAUGUUCUGGUUCAGCUACGUUUUACUCAGAAUACCAUAUUGACUGCAAGUCCUGCUCCCUGCCUUGCAUCCUUUUUCCACCUGUCCUAGAAAGGCAGGGCCCCGACUGACUCCAGCUACAAAAGCUGAGCCUGCUGGGUAUUGAUUAGGAGGCGGUUGGGGUUUUCUGGCGAAGGAGGGGUGUUGUUACUGCUAUUAUUGAUAUUUUUUAAUCUUUAUUUUAGAUUUAUUAUGCAGAAAUGUAUGCGGAAAUUGUGUUUUUUAUGUGGAAAUUGUUUUAAUUUGAUUGUUUACUUCUUAAUGUUUUAUUUAUUGUUUAUGGCUACUUU